This 497-nucleotide ribosomal RNA is filed under the name uncultured bacterium. RNAcentral describes it as "partial 16S ribosomal RNA". It matches the Rfam family "Bacterial small subunit ribosomal RNA", at positions 28 to 507 of the family's 1533-position model. The record is from RNAcentral.
GAUGAACGCUGGCGGCGUGCCUAAUACAUGCAAGUAGAACGCUGAAGGAAGGAGCUUGCUCUUUCCGGAUGAGUUGCGAACGGGUGAGUAACGCGUAGGUAACCUGCCCGGUAGCGGGGGAUAACUAUUGGAAACGAUAGCUAAUACCGCAUAACAGUAGAUGUUGCAUGAUAUCUACUUAAAAGGUGCAAUUGCACCACUACCAGAUGGACCUGCGUUGUAUUAGCUAGUUGGUGAGGUAACGGCUCACCAAGGCGACGAUACAUAGCCGACCUGAGAGGGUGAUCGGCCACACUGGGACUGAGACACGGCCCAGACUCCUACGGGAGGCAGCAGUAGGGAAUCUUCGGCAAUGGACGGAAGUCUGACCGAGCAACGCCGCGUGAGUGAAGAAGGUUUUCGGAUCGUAAAGCUCUGUUGUAAGAGAAGAACGAGUGUGAGAGUGGAAAGUUCACACUGUGACGGUAUCUUACCAGAAAGGGACGGCUAACUACGUG